GCGUUAUCCGGAAUCAUUGGGCGUAAAGCGCCUGUAGGUUGUUUAAUAAGUCUGUUGUUAAAGACUGGGGCUUAACCCCAGGAAAGCAAUGGAAACUACUAGACUAGAGUAUGGUAGGGGUAAAGGGAAUUUCUAGUGUAGCGGUGAAAUGCGUAGAUAUUAGAAAGAACACCGGUGGCGAAAGCGCUUUACUGGACCAUUACUGACACUCAGAGGCGAAAACUAGGGUAGCCAAAGGGAUUAGAUACCCCUGUAGUCCUAGCCGUAAACGAUGGAUACUAGAUGUUGCGCUUAUUGUGCAGUGUCGUAGCUAACGCGUUAAGUAUCCCGCCUGGGGAGUACGAUCGCAAGGUUGAAACUCAAAGGAAUUGACGGGGGCCCGCACAAGCGGUGGAGCAUGUGGUUUAAUUCGAUGCAACGCGAAGAACCUUACCAGGGCUUGACAUACUGCAAAUUUUCUUGAAAGAGAAAAGUGCCUUCGGGAAUGCAGAUACAGGUGGUGCAUGGCUGUCGUCAGCUCGUGUCGUGAGAUGUUGGGUUAAGUCCCGCAACGAGCGCAACCCUCGUUUUUAGUUGCCAUUUUAUGGGUUCUCUAGAAAGACAGCCGGUGACAAACCGGAGGAAGGUGGGGAUGACGUCAAGUCAGCAUGCCCCUUAUGCCCUGGGCUACACACGUGCUACAAUGGCUAAGACAAAGAGUCGCGAAUUCGCGAGAAUCAGCUAAUCUCAUAAACUUAGUCUAAGUUCAGAUUGUAGGCUGCAACU
RNAcentral lists this ribosomal RNA (765 nucleotides) under uncultured marine haptophyte. RNAcentral describes it as "bacterial SSU rRNA". It matches the Rfam family "Bacterial small subunit ribosomal RNA", at positions 538 to 1312 of the family's 1533-position model. Lineage: Eukaryota; Haptophyta. The record is from RNAcentral.